Molecule: ribosomal RNA, 500 nt
Filed under: uncultured bacterium
Lineage: Bacteria
Description: bacterial SSU rRNA
Rfam family: Bacterial small subunit ribosomal RNA
Source: RNAcentral
AGAGUUUGAUUAUGGCUCAGGAUGAACGCUGGCGGCGUGCUUAACACAUGCAAGUCGAACGAAGCAACUAUCUUGCUGCAAGAGAGUUGACUUAGUGGCGGACGGGUGAGUAACGCGUGGGUAACCUGCCUCAUACAGGGGGAUAACAGUUGGAAACGACUGCUAAGACCGCAUAACCCGCUAGUGUCGCAUGACACGGACGGAAAAUAUUUAUAGGUAUGAGAUGGGCCCGCGUCUGAUUAGCUAGUUGGUAAGGUAACGGCUUACCAAGGCGACGAUCAGUAGCCGACUUGAGAGAGUGAUCGGCCACAUUGGGACUGAGACACGGCCCAAACUCCUACGGGAGGCAGCAGUGGGGAAUAUUGGACAAUGGGGGAAACCCUGAUCCAGCCGACGCCGCGUGAGUGAAGAAGUAUUUCGGUAUGUAAAGCUCUAUCAGCAGGGAAGAUAAUGACAGUACCUGACUAAGAAGCCCCGGCUAACUACGUGCCAGCCGCCGC